CCUACGGGAGGCAGCAGUGGGGAAUAUUGCGCAAUGGGCGAAAGCCUGACGCAGCGACGCAGCGUGAGGGACGAAGGCCUUCGGGUUGUAAACCUCUUUCAGCGGGGACGAAGCGAAAGUGACGGUACCCGCAGAAGAAGCACCGGCUAACUACGUGCCAGCAGCCGCGGUAAUACGUAGGGUGCAAGCAUUGUCCGGAUUUAUUGGGCGUAAAGAGCUCGUAGGCGGCUUGUCACGUCGGAUGUGAAAACUCGGGGCUCAACCCCGAGCCUGCAUUCGAUACGGGCUAGCUAGAGUGUUGCAGGGGAGACUGGAAUUCCUGGUGUAGCGGUGAAAUGCGCAGAUAUCAGGAGGAACACCGGUGGCGAAGGCGGGUCUCUGGGCAACUACUGACGCUGAGGAGCGAAAGCGUGGGGAGCGAACAGGAUUAGAUACCCUGGUAGUCCACGCCGUAAACGGUGGGCGCUAGGUGUGGGGAACCUUCCACGUUCUCUGUGCCGUAGCUAACGCAUUAAGCGCCCCGCCUGGGGAGGUACGGCCGCGAGACGAACUACAAGAAGUAGACGCGNGAGACGNGCCGACGGACGACGACGAGGGAGUAGG
This 603-nucleotide ribosomal RNA is filed under the name uncultured bacterium. Its description in RNAcentral is "bacterial SSU rRNA". The stretch from base 1 to 525 matches the Rfam family "Bacterial small subunit ribosomal RNA", at positions 338 to 873 of the family's 1533-position model. The record is from RNAcentral.